UACGUAGGUGGCAAGCGUUGUCCGGAUUUACUGGGCGUAAAGGGCGCGUAGGCGGCGUGACAAGUCACUUGUGAAAUCUCCGGGCUUAACUCGGAACGGUCAAGUGAUACUGUCGUGCUAGAGUACAGAAGGGGCAACUGGAAUUCUCGGUGUAGCGGUGAAAUGCGUAGAUAUCGAGAGGAACACCUGCGGCGAAGGCGGGUUGCUGGGCUGAUACUGACGCUGAGGCGCGAAAGCUAGGGGAGCGAACGGG
Molecule: ribosomal RNA, 253 nt
Filed under: uncultured bacterium
Lineage: Bacteria
Description: partial 16S ribosomal RNA
Rfam family: Bacterial small subunit ribosomal RNA
Source: RNAcentral